Phascolarctos cinereus (koala) is the source of this 417-nucleotide non-coding RNA. Lineage: Eukaryota; Metazoa; Chordata; Mammalia; Diprotodontia; Phascolarctidae. The record is from RefSeq and is a predicted model, not a curated record.
AUGUAACCCAAAAUUUCACUCAAACUUCUGCUAACCAUCUUAUGAAUCCCAUGAGGGUGAAAACAACAAUGCAGACCAAAAGUUGGAAGGUAAUACUCUCAGACUUAAUCAUUAAGUCAUAGAUUGAUUGGUGGAUGGAGGCUGAAGGGAGUACUCAUACUGGGACUUCAUUGGUCAAAAUCACGGAUCUUUCCAUGGAUAGGUAUCAUUUGUGAACAGGCAAUGGGAAGCCCCUGUUGGUUUCAGAGCAGGAGAGUGAUAUCGGCACUUUGUUUUAGGACUAUAACUUUGGCAAUUGUAUAAAAGGGAGAGUCGAUGGGGUUGCUAAUUGUAUGGGAACCAUUAAGAAGAAGACAUCAGGGUUUACAGUCUAAUUGAAGGAGCCAAAACAUAUAGGAGAAUGGUGAUCAGAGAAGG